This 253-nucleotide ribosomal RNA is filed under the name uncultured bacterium. RNAcentral describes it as "partial 16S ribosomal RNA". It matches the Rfam family "Bacterial small subunit ribosomal RNA", at positions 524 to 776 of the family's 1533-position model. The record is from RNAcentral.
UACGUAGGGUGCAGGCGUUAAUCGGAAUUACUGGGCGUAAAGCGUGCGCAGGCGGUUUGCUAAGACAGGUGUGAAAUCCCCGGGCUUAACCUGGGAACUGCGCUUGUAACUGGCAAGCUGGAGUGUGGCAGAGGGGGGUGGAAUUCCAGGUGUAGCAGUGAAAUGCGUAGAGAUCUGGAGGAACACCGAUGGCGAAGGCAGCCCCCUGGGCUAACACUGACGCUCAUGCACGAAAGCGUGGGGAGCAAACAGG